GACGAACGCUGGCGGCGUGCCUAAUACAUGCCAGUUGAGCGCUGAAGGCUGGUACUUGUACCAACUGGAUGAGCAGCGAACGGGUGAGUAACGCGUGGGGAAUCUGCCUUUGAGCGGGGGACAACAUUUGGAAACGAAUGCUAAUACCGCAUAAAAACUUUAAACACAAGUUUUAAGUUUGAAAGAUGCAAUUGCAUCACUCAAAGAUGAUCCCGCGUUGUAUUAGCUAGUUGGUGAGGUAAAGGCUCACCAAGGCGAUGAUACAUAGCCGACCUGAGGGGGUGGUCGGCCACAUUGGGACUGGGAACACGCCCAAACUCCUACGGGAGGCAGCAGGAGGGAAUCUUCGGGAAUGGACGGAAGUCUGACCGGGCAACGCCGCGUGAGUGAAGAAGGUUUUCGGAUCGUAAAAAUCUGUUGGUAGAGAAGAACGUUGGUGAGAGUGAAAAGCGCAUCAAGUGACGGUAACUACCCAGAAAGGGACGGCUAACUACGUG
RNAcentral lists this ribosomal RNA (497 nucleotides) under uncultured bacterium. Its description in RNAcentral is "partial 16S ribosomal RNA". It matches the Rfam family "Bacterial small subunit ribosomal RNA", at positions 28 to 507 of the family's 1533-position model. The record is from RNAcentral.